RNAcentral lists this transfer RNA (69 nucleotides) under Paratya australiensis. Its description in RNAcentral is "tRNA-Glu". It matches the Rfam family "tRNA". From Rfam's summary of the family: Transfer RNA (tRNA) molecules are approximately 80 nucleotides in length. Their secondary structure includes four short double-helical elements and three loops (D, anti-codon, and T loops). Lineage: Eukaryota; Metazoa; Arthropoda; Malacostraca; Decapoda; Atyidae. The record is from RNAcentral.
GUUUUUAUGGUGUAAUAAACACAUUACAUUUUCAUUGUAAAACCAAAGGUAAAACUCCUUUUAAAAAUA